Molecule: transfer RNA, 72 nt
Filed under: Pharus latifolius
Lineage: Eukaryota; Viridiplantae; Streptophyta; Magnoliopsida; Poales; Poaceae
Description: tRNA-Gly
Source: RNAcentral
CUGGCGAACGGCGGGAAUCAAACCCGUAACUUCUCCUUAACAAGGAGAUACUUUACAAUUCAACUAUGCUCG